This 308-nucleotide ribosomal RNA is filed under the name uncultured fungus. Its description in RNAcentral is "eukaryotic LSU rRNA". The stretch from base 1 to 105 matches the Rfam family "5.8S ribosomal RNA", at positions 50 to 154 of the family's 154-position model. Lineage: Eukaryota; Fungi. The record is from RNAcentral.
GAAAUGCGAUACGUAAUGUGAAUUGCAGAAUUCAGUGAAUCAUCGAGUCUUUGAACGCACAUUGCGCCCCCUGGUAUUCCGGGGGGCAUGCCUGUCCGAGCGUCAUUGCUGCCCUCAAGCACGGCUUGUGUGUUGGGCUCCGUCCUCCUUCCGGGGGACGGGCCCGAAAGGCAGCGGCGGCACCGCGUCCGGUCCUCGAGCGUAUGGGGCUUCGUCACCCGCUCUGUAGGCCCGGCCGGCGCUUGCCGACACAUCAAUCUUUUUUCCAGGUUGACCUCGGAUCAGGUAGGGAUACCCGCUGAACUUAA